This 504-nucleotide ribosomal RNA is filed under the name uncultured bacterium. RNAcentral describes it as "partial 16S ribosomal RNA". It matches the Rfam family "Bacterial small subunit ribosomal RNA", at positions 29 to 523 of the family's 1533-position model. The record is from RNAcentral.
AUUGAACGCUGGCGGCAGGCCUAACACAUGCAAGUCGAACGGUAGCACAGAGAGCUUGCUCUCGGGUGACGAGUGGCGGACGGGUGAGUAAUGUCUGGGAAACUGCCCGAUGGAGGGGGAUAACUACUGGAAACGGUAGCUAAUACCGCAUAACGUCGCAAGACCAAAGUGGGGGACCUUCGGGCCUCACACCAUCGGAUGUGCCCAGAUGGGAUUAGCUAGUAGGUGGGGUAAUGGCUCACCUAGGCGACGAUCCAUAGCUGGUCUGAGAGGAUGAACAGCCAGACGGGAACUGGGAUACGGUCCAGAGUGCUACGGGAGGCAACAGUGGGGAAGAUUGGACAAUGGGCGCAAGCCUGAUGCAGCCAUGCCGCGUGUAUGAAGAAGGCCUUCGGGUUGUAAAGUACUUUCAGCGGGGAGGAAGGCGGUGAAGUUAAUAGCUUAACCGAUUGACGUUACCCGCAGAAGAAGCACCGGCUAACUCCGUGCCAGCAGCCGCCGCAG